CCUUCCAUGCAAGUCGAACGGUAACGCGGGGCAACCUGGCGACGAGUUGGCGAACGGGUGAGUAAUACAUCGGAACGUGCCCAGUAGUGGGGGAUAGCCCGGCGAAAGCCGGAUUAAUACCGCAUACGACCUACGGGUGAAAGCGGGGGAUCGCAAGACCUCGCGCUAUUGGAGCGGCCGAUGUCAGAUUAGGUAGUUGGUGAGGUAAAGGCUCACCAAGCCUACGAUCUGUAGCUGGUCUGAGAGGACGACCAGCCACACUGGGACUGAGACACGGCCCAGACCCCUACGGGAGGCAGCAGUGGGGAAUUUUGGACAAUGGGCGCAAGCCUGAUCCAGCCAUGCCGCGUGCGGGAAGAAGGCCUUCGGGUUGUAAACCGCUUUUGUCAGGGAAGAAACGCUCUGGGCUAAUACCCUGGGGUAAUGACGGUACCUGAAGAAUAAGCACCGGCUAACUACGUGCCAGCAGCCGCGGUAAUACGUAGGGUACAAGCGUUAAUCGGAAUUACUGGGCGUAAAGCGUGCGCAGGCGGUUAUGCAAGACAGAUGUGAAAUCCCCGGGCUUAACCUGGGAACUGCAUUUGUGACUGCAUAGCUAGAGUGCGGCAGAGGGGGAUGGAAUUCCGCGUGUAGCAGUGAAAUGCGUAGAUAUGCGGAGGAACACCGAUGGCGAAGGCAAUCCCCUGGGCCUGCACUGACGCUCAUGCACGAAAGCGUGGGGAGCAAACAGGAUUAGAUACCCUGGUAGUCCACGCCCUAAACGAUGUCAACUGGUUGUUGGAAGGGUUCCCUUUCAGUAACGAAGCUAACGCGUGAA
This 817-nucleotide ribosomal RNA is filed under the name uncultured bacterium. RNAcentral's name for it is "bacterial SSU rRNA". It matches the Rfam family "Bacterial small subunit ribosomal RNA", at positions 47 to 863 of the family's 1533-position model. The record is from RNAcentral.